GCAGAGAUGAUGCCAUGAUGAAAAACUCAGACUUUGACAGAGGAAAAAAAGAGAUGACGGUGACUUUAGGACUGCUUCUCAUCCUUGUGCUCCUACUAACUGGGAUGUCAGAGUUGAGGAUGCUGGAAUCUACACCUGUCAACAAUACCUUAGAGAGGAUGGACCACAACAUGGAGGUGAUGCUCCUGUUCGUCUGUCUCUAAAUAGUUCUCAUUCGCCACAGUACAUCCCUAUUGUUGUGGGAGUGUCUGUGGGAGUGUCUUUGGCAGUGUCGGUGUGUGUCCUUGUCGCUGUCAUCAUAUUAUGCAGGAGAACCACCAAUAUCAGCCUUGGUCUGAAUACAAUGAACCACCCCACCCCACCAGACAACGAAGACAGGAGUCAACCUGCUGGCAGUAUCACCUAUGCCUCCAUCAACUACAUAAACCAAUAUUCCCCCAAGAGAGUUGUCGUAAGUGAAACUAUAAUGGACAAAUUGUUGUCUCUUCCUCCUACAGGAUGUUUAAAACAUUUCCAUUGUUGUAAUGGUGUGUGUGUGUGUGUAGGCCCAUGAGGAUGCAGUGACCUAUGCCUCAGUUAUGACCUCUACUGACAGAGGAAGAGAAACAGAGAACCCUGCUGACCCCAACUCCCUCUAUUCUACUGUCAAUAAACAUCAGGGAGUUCAGCCAUAUGAGCAACAGUCAUUAAUUUAAAC
Long non-coding RNA from Esox lucius (northern pike), 697 nucleotides. NCBI's taxonomy places the organism in Eukaryota, Metazoa, Chordata, Actinopteri, Esociformes, Esocidae. The record is from Ensembl.